This is a long non-coding RNA of Sardina pilchardus (European sardine), 980 nucleotides long. RefSeq lists it as uncharacterized. Lineage: Eukaryota; Metazoa; Chordata; Actinopteri; Clupeiformes; Clupeidae. The transcript is spliced from 3 exons. The record is from RefSeq and is a predicted model, not a curated record.
UUGAAAACAAGCAUGGCAUCGGUCUGACUACACAUGUCUGACGGUCAUUUCCACAUUUACCAUUACAUCAGGUGUUCAGUUUUCCUUUAUCUAUUUCAUCUUUUAACACACGGCUACACUACACUGUUCAAAUAAACGGUCUGGUAAAUGCGUAGAGUUGAGCCAGGACACUAUGAAACUUGACCGACCCGCGCACUUAGAUGGGUACCCCGUUUGCGAUGCGAAUGCGAUUCGGCGUGAGCACAUCUGACGCUAUUUAUAGGAUCUCACUGGGUAGCCUACGACAGGCGUUACAGGUGUAUGGUCGAGAAAACGCGGAAGUGACGUUAAUGCUCACAAGACAAGGAUUAAACCAUUGGAUUACUGUAAUUUGACGGCUAGAGCUGGAAUCCACCGCUCGGUCUCCGAGUGAAAAAUAAAAACGGUGACAGACUUGAAGGGUCACGCCAGUUUUGUGAAGAGAACAGACCGCACUGUACCAGGACAUGGUUAUCAGCUCUCAGAAAGGUCUCUCCAGUAGAAGUAUAAACUAGGCCCCAUCGGUCAGCGUGUGGUCAGCGGUCGGUCGGCAGGCGAGGCGUGGCGUCCCAUGCACACGCCCAGCGGCACCAUGGGUAGUUCGCCCGAGGUCCUGUCCUGGACCUCCUGCCCGAGCCUGCUGGUGGGCAAGCUGAAGGAGGAGCUGAAGCUGACCGUGGUGGGGGGCGACCCGGCCGCCAAGAAGAACAGCAACAACCCCCCGGCAACAACAACCCCCCCGGCAACAACAACCCCCCCUCCAACGUGACCAACGCAGCGGGCAACAACCCCCAGGGCCCCCUGGCCCCUCCUACCUCCGUGCUCCUGCCCCCCCACAACACCCCCACCUCCGGCGGGCCCGUCGCCAACCCGCCCCCCCAGAUCAUCACGGACCUGGCGCCCCCCACGCACCUGCCCGUGCCCCUCCAGCAGCUGCACCCCCCCGGGCGCGGCGGCAUCGG